CCUCCACCAAUCCAUGUAGUGUGGUGCUCAAUUGAUUUCACGCAAUAAACUGGUCUAUAUAUAACAAAGUUUUGGUUACAAAUAUAGGAGCAUAGGUUUUGAAUCGGAUUCUAGGGCUGUAGUGCCUUCACCACUAUGAUGUUUUAUGGUAGGAAAUGCACAAGCUCAUAUUGAACGCUACAAGAUCCACCGAAUUGACACGGGGAAGUUGGGUGGUGGUGGACCAGCUGAUGUACUAUAAAGAACACAUAAAUUAAAACCAGUCGAUCCACCCAAAGUAUGAUUAAAACCUUGAAAGAAGUGUUCUAUGGAAGAUCAAAAUGGAAUGGUAUAUUCCAAGAAUAAACCCUUCCACUCACCGCCUCUUCUCGAUGUACUCAAUUGACCCCAAAAAAAAAGCCCCAAAUUAAACAAAUGGAACAACCAUUUUGAUUGUGUUUUGCAUUUGUAUUGGCGCUCUGCUGAUUUCAUAAUGCUAUAAAUGGAAAAGUUGAGAGGAUCAUUUUGGUUUUUGGGGUCAUUAUUGGAGAACUCAAUGAAGAGAAUUCGGUUUCUGUAAUUCACUGGAAUACGUGUGCUCUAAACCAGUGGAAUUUGUAGUGUUAAGGCAUUGCUGCAAUAUUGGAUCCUGAAUGACAUUGACAUAUUCAACUGGCCACAUUGAAAGUGCUUGGCAUGGUGGAGCAAAUUAUAAACGUGUGGUGAUCGCAUUACGUUGCCC
This 721-nucleotide long non-coding RNA is filed under the name Prunus dulcis (almond). RNAcentral's name for it is "sRNA ncRNA". Lineage: Eukaryota; Viridiplantae; Streptophyta; Magnoliopsida; Rosales; Rosaceae. The record is from RNAcentral.